This 4179-nucleotide long non-coding RNA is filed under the name Homo sapiens (human). RNAcentral's name for it is "HSALNT0097843". The record is from RNAcentral. Lineage: Eukaryota; Metazoa; Chordata; Mammalia; Primates; Hominidae.
GUUCCCACCCACACCCCAAGAACACACACACACACACACACACUCACACUCACACAGCCUGGAUCAUGCCUCCUUACCUGCUCACCAUCCAAACCUUGGUUUCCAUAUGACCUCCUCCAGAAAGCCUCCCCCGACAGACCUCACCCCUGCCCCCACAUCACCGGGCUGGAUUAAUCUGACUUUUCUCGCACUGGCACAUGGAUCACAGCUUUACAAAUGCCACAUCCUCAAGAAACCACAGCAGACAGUUCCUGCCUCUUCCUCCACCUCCUCCUGAAUCAGAAGGGAAGUGAGAUUUCUAUUUGCCUGGCGUGCACAACCCUCCAUAGUUUACACCUGGUACAGCUCUUCAGUUCAUCAACAUUUACUGAGCCCCACGUGUCCCAGGUGUAGAAGGUCCUUUAUUUUCUUACGCUUUUUAUUUGCAUAAUAUUCGCUUUUAGACACACCGCCUUGGUCCCUGAAGUGGACAGCUAUUAUUUUUCUCCUGCCCAGCCUCUUGGAAACAGCACUUCAGUCUUCGUCAGGGGCACCACCCUGCCCCGCCCUGUCCCUGCGCAUCAUUCGCUUGGCCAAGAACUGUGGCCCGGCCCAUCAGUGCCUCCCCGCUCCACUGGACCCCACCCCACCCAAAUUCAUUGUCCACGCAGCCACAGGAGGGAUUUUUCGUUUUCUUUUUUUCUUUUCUUUUCUUUCUUUCUUUUUUUUUUUUUUUUUUGAGGUGGAGUCUCGCUCUGUCGCCCAGACUGGAGUGCGAUGGCAUGAUCUCUGCUCAUUGCAACUUCCGCCUCCUGGGCUCAAGCAAUUCUCCUGCCUCAGCCUCCGGAGUAACUGGGAUUAGAGGCGCCCACCACCACGCCCAGCUAAUUUGUGUAUUUGUGUAUUUUUAGUAGAGACGGGGUUUCACUAUGUUGGCCAGGCUGGUCUCAAUCUCCUGACCUCAGGUGAUCCACCCGCCUGAGUCUCCCAAAGUGCUGGGAUUACAGGCGUGAGCCACCGCACCUGGCCGGGAUUUUCUUAAAACAUAAAACCAGAUUCCAUCAUUCCUCUGCUUAAAAUCCCUCAGAGAUUCUCAUAUCAAACUUUAAGCUCUUUACCAGGGCCUGCAGGGCCUUGCCUGACCUGCAUAAAAGUCUCAACUGAAAUGUGACUUGCUCAGAAGGACCCUUUGUAGCCACACUAUGGAGACCUUUGUCUAUCUCAGCACACUGCUUCUUUUGUUUUGUUUUGUUUUUGAGACAGGAUCUUGCUCUGUUGUCCAGGCUGAAGUGCAGUGGCAAGAACAGGGCUCACUGCAGCCUUGACUUUCUGGUCUCAAGCGGACCUCCCACCUCAGCCUCCAAAGUGCUGGGAUUACAGGCAUGAGCCACUGCGUCCAGCCACUCUGUUUCUAUUCUUUGGAGCAUUUAUCACAUUUUGUCAGUUCAGUUUCCCCCUCACAAUGGAGAGGGUGAGGGAGGGCAGGGGCAGCCCUCUCCCCCUCACUUCUUAUUCCUAGCAUGUGGCACAUGGUAGGUGCUCAACCCAUCUUUGAAGAAGGCUGGGAUAAUGACCUUGGGGUGAGGGAGGCCAAGCAGAGAUGUGCUGGGCUAGUGCAGUGGCCCAGGACAGAGAUGGAGGUGGUCUGUGCUCAGGGGCUGUGAAGCCAAUAGACCUUACUGGAUGGAGGAUGCAUCUUAUCCAUCCGGGCUGCUAUGACAGAAUACCAUAGACUGGGCAGCUUAUCCACAGCAGGUACUUACUUCUCAUAGUUCUGCAGGCUGGGAAGUCUAAGAUCAAGGUGCCAGCAGAUUCCGUGUCUGGUGAGGGCCACUUUCUCAUAGACGGUGACUUCUCGCUGAGUCCACACGUGGUGCAAGGGGCAAGGAAUCUCUCUGGGGACUCUUUUAUAAGGGCACUAACCCCAUUCACACGGGCUUCAUACUCAUGACCUAAUCACCUCCCAAAUGCCCCAUCUCCUAACACCAUUACAUGGUGGGCAGUGGGGUAGAAUUUAAACAUGGAUUUUGGGGUGAUACAAACAUUCAGACCAUAGCAGGGAGGAUGUAUUUUGGGGGCAGAGAAAACAGAAUGGAAACUGCCUUUGCAAAAAUCAUAGCUGAGAAAAUUACGACAGUGAAAGACACCACACCUAACUGACCCCAUCUUGCUUCUAACCGCUAAACUGUUCUUGUAAAACAAAUGAAAGGCCACCAGCCACCAAGUCAAGAUGAGAGGGGCUGGAAUUCUAAAUAUUCCCAGCCAUUAUUCCGGAGGUCCUAAGAUUUGCAACUUACCCAAUUACUCUUGAAGGUAACAUUACUAUUGUGAACCUAAGAUCGGCCUUUGGAGAUGUCUUUUUAGGUUUUUGCAUUUCUAACAACUAAAUGGCCCCACCUGGACCUGCCAACCAAUUAUGUGGCCCCCACCCCGGAACUGACUCAGCAGAAGUGAACAGCUUCGACGCCCUGUGAGUUUAUCUCCAAGCCAACCAAUCAGCACUCCCAAUUCACUGGCCCCCUACCCACCAAAUUAUCCUUAAAAACUCUGAUCCUCAAGUUUUCAGAAAGACUGAUUUGAGUAAUAAUAAAACUUCAGUCUCCCACACAGCCGGCUCUGCGUGGAUUACUCUUUCUCGGUUGCAAUUCCCCUGUCUGGACAAAUCGGCUCUGUCUAGGCAGCGGGCAAGGUGAAUCCCUUGGGCGGUUACAGAAUGUGCUGGCAGGCUGAAUGGUGGAGCAGAGAAGAAGGAUGAACCCUACAUUUCCCACUUGAGCACCUGUGUGGGAUGGUGGUGCCAGGGGACAGCGGGAGAGCAAGCAUUACAGGAAAACCCACACGUUAUGUUUAGGAUACAUUCGUGGUGUGAUGUCUGUAAGACAUUUAAGGGAGGGGUUGUGUAGGCAGCUAGACUAUGAGUCUGGAGCCGGAGGGAAGAUCUAGAUUCAAGUAUGGGGGUCAACAGCACAUUGACGGUGCCGAAAAUCACAAAUGGUAUGAGAUCCAUUGGAGAGAGCACCUAUGGAGAGAAUAUGGGAGCUCAGGACUGCACUUGAGGAUGCCCAAGAUUCUGAGAUCACAUAGAGAAAGAGCAGCCAGCAAAGGAUACUGAAGAGAAGAGGCCAGUGCAGGGGACAGGGAAACCAGGCCAGUGUAGUGGCCCUGAGCCGAGGGAAGAGUUUCUCAAGGAGAGGGAAGUCAACAGUGAAGACACUGCUGAAAGAUGUGCUGUGAUGGGAACAGAGAUGUGGCCUUUGGAUUCACAAUAGGAAGGUCCUGGGAGCUUGGCAAGAGCUAUUGUAGGGCCAGGCUCAGUGGCUCACACUUGUAAUUCCAGCACUUUGGGAGGCCAAGGUGGGAUCACUUGAGGCCAGGAGUUUGAGACCAGCCUGGGCAAUAUAGUGAGACCUCAUCUUUAAAAAAAAAAAAAAAAAAAAAAAAAGUCCGGGCACAGUGGCUCACGCUUGUAGUCCCAGCACUUCGGGAGGCCUAGGCAGGUGGAUCACCUGAGGUCACGAGUUCAAGACCAGGCUGGCCAACAUGGUAAAACCCCGUCUCUACUAAAAAAUACAAAAAAAAAUUAGGCAGGCGUGGUGGCACACAGCUAUAAUCCCAGCUUCUGGGGAGGUUGAGGCAGGAGAAUCUCUUGAACCUGGGAGGUGGAGGUUGCAAUGGGUCAAGAUUGCACCACUUUACUUCAGCUUGGGAAACAGAGUGAGACUCUGUCUCAAAAAAUAAAAUAAAAUAAUAAAAAAUUAGCUGGGUGUGGUAGUGCACUCCUGUGGUCCCAGCUACUCACGAGGCUGAGGUGGGAGGAUUGCUUGAGCCCAGGAGGUUGAGGCUGCAUUGAGCUGUGAUCACACCACUGCACUCCAGCCUGGGUGACCAAGUGAGAUCCUGUCUCAAAAAAAUAAAUGAGUAAAAUAAAAUAAUGGAUAAAUAAAAGCCAUCCCCCAUUUUCCAAAGCCCUCCUCAUGAGCAGUGCUGAAUCACAACUAAGAACCAUUGCUCUAGCACAAAAGUCAACAAACUUGUUCUGUAAGAGAUAGAUGGUAAAGUUUUUCAGCUUUGCAAGCUGUAUGAUUACUGGCACAACUAUGCAAUUCCAUCAUUGUAGUUUGAUAGCAGCCACAGACAAUUCCUAAGCAAAUGAGUGGGACUGUGUUCCAAUAAAACUUUAUUUAAAAACACAAUUGGUGG